ACGAACGCUGGCGGCAUGCCUAACCCCUGCAAGUCGCACGAGACCUUCGGGUCUAGUGGCGCACGGGUGCGUAACGCGUGGGAAUCUGCCCUUGGGUUCGGAAUAACUCGCCGAAAGGCGUGCUAAUACCGGAUGAUGACGUAAGUCCAAAGAUUUAUCGCCCAAGGAUGAGCCCGCGUUGGAUUAGCUAGUUGGUGAGGUAAAGGCUCACCAAGGCGACGAUCCAUAGCUGGUCUGAGAGGAUGAUCAGCCACACUGGGACUGAGACACGGCCCAGACUCCUACGGGAGGCAGCAGUGGGGAAUAUUGGACAAUGGGCGAAAGCCUGAUCCAGCAAUGCCGCGUGAGUGAUGAAGGCCUUAGGGUUGUAAAGCUCUUUUACCCGGGAUGAUAAUGACCGUACCGGGAGAAUAAGCUCCGGCUAACUCCGUG
This 432-nucleotide ribosomal RNA is filed under the name uncultured bacterium. RNAcentral describes it as "partial 16S ribosomal RNA". It matches the Rfam family "Bacterial small subunit ribosomal RNA", at positions 29 to 507 of the family's 1533-position model. The record is from RNAcentral.